This 45-nucleotide non-coding RNA is filed under the name Schistosoma curassoni. Lineage: Eukaryota; Metazoa; Platyhelminthes; Trematoda; Strigeidida; Schistosomatidae. The record is from RNAcentral.
AUCUAGUUGAUGUGUCUCAAAUAGAACGAAACGCGCAUCUUAGAU